AUUUAUUUAAUAUAAAAAGUAUAUUUGAUUUCCAAUCAAAAAGUCUAGUUAUUUUAGAAUAAAUA
RNAcentral lists this transfer RNA (65 nucleotides) under Hierodula maculata. RNAcentral's name for it is "tRNA-Gly". The record is from RNAcentral. Lineage: Eukaryota; Metazoa; Arthropoda; Insecta; Mantodea; Mantidae.